This 371-nucleotide ribosomal RNA is filed under the name uncultured organism. RNAcentral describes it as "bacterial SSU rRNA". It matches the Rfam family "Bacterial small subunit ribosomal RNA", at positions 526 to 895 of the family's 1533-position model. The record is from RNAcentral.
CGUAGGGUGCGAGCGUUAAUCGGAAUUACUGGGCGUAAAGCGUGCGCAGGCGGUUUUGUAAGACAGGCGUGAAAUCCCCGGGCUCAACCUGGGAACUGCGCUUGUGACUGCAAGGCUAGAGUACGGCAGAGGGGGUGGAAUUCCACGUGUAGCAGUGAAAUGCGUAGAGAUGUGGAGGAACACCAAUGGCGAAGGCAGCCCCCUGGGUCGAUACUGACGCUCAUGCACGAAAGCGUGGGUAGCAAACAGGAUUAGAUACCCUGGUAGUCCACGCCCUAAACGAUGUCAACUAGGUGUUGGGUGGGUAAAACCAUUUAGUACCGGAGCUAACGCGUGAAGUUGACCGCCUGGGGAGUACGGCCGACAAGGUU